This is an RNA transcript of Fopius arisanus, 1035 nucleotides long. It is a transcript of the gene named Radiation insensitive 1, with no coding region annotated. The transcript has 5 exons. NCBI's taxonomy places the organism in Eukaryota, Metazoa, Arthropoda, Insecta, Hymenoptera, Braconidae. The record is from RefSeq and is a predicted model, not a curated record.
UCUCACUCCAGAGAAAAUAAUCCAGAAAAAUAUAACACCCACACAAUUCGAGAACCUACUCCUUCAUCAAGUCUCUUACGAUCAAGAUGAACUCCCAGAUUGAAGAUUAUCAAUUCGUGGCUAAAUUGGGAAAUCUCAAAACAGUUGUGCUAUUACUGAGAUGUGUGAAUUUUCGAGAGAACGCAAUGUGUUUUGCGUCUGACAACGGUCUGAAAAUCACAGUAGAGGACUCAAAGUGCAUCCAAGCAAAUGCCUACCUCCCAUCGAACGUUUUCCAAGAGUACGACCUGAAGGAGGAAGCUAUUUUCAGGAUCAAUCUUACUGUUCUGGUUGAGUGUCUGGGGAUGUUCUGGAGUCAGAUAUCAUCAGCAGGUACUUCUGUGGCUCUUCAAAUUUAUUACAAAGGUCAUGGCCACCCAGUGACAGUAUUAAUUGAAGAGGAUGGAAUAAUCACGGAUUGUUCAUUAAAAACACAAGAGCCUGAGGAACUCCUCGACUUCCAGAUUCUUCCGGAUAAGGUCCUCAAUAAAGUCAUACUGCAGACAGAAUUACUGAGAGAUAUCUGGAGUGAACUGGAUCCCACGUGUGAAUUUGUUGAGUUGCUACUCUCCCCGAAUCCCCCAUAUUUCCAAAUAGGCACUGAUGGACUAGCUGGUGAAUGCCGGAUAGAAUUACCCCAUGACAGCGAUCUGGUGGACAGUUUUGACUGCAAAAAUGAAGCUAGUUUUUACUACAGAUUCAGUCACAUGAAACCUGCGAUGAAGGCUUUGGGAUGUGCCAACAAAGUUUCAUUGAGAACGAACGACGUUGGAUUGCUCUGCUUUCAGUACAUGGUGAAAACUGAUGAAGGACACACCUGUUAUGUAGAAUAUUAUCUCUCACCACUGCUGGACACUGACGAGUAAAUAAAAUCGAGACACAAUUCCUGAAAUCUUCUAUUGAGCUCUCAAACGCAGGAUGACUGACCAAACGAUAGCCAGAUGUUAAUCUCCUCUGUAUCCAGCGUCAGAGAAAACUGUAUGUAUUUUGUACUGC